UAAGAUUUCAAAGGGUCCAAUGUAUCUGGGGUUUAAUUUUCCCCUUCUGCCGAACCUACUAAUUCCCUUAAAGGGGGUGACUUUAAGAAACACCCGGUCACCUUUCUCAAAGGCCAGGUCCCUCCUUCGGGUAUCAGCAUAGCUCUUUUGCCUACUCUGAGCUGUCUGGAUGUUCUUCUUGAUCUUAACUAUCUUGGACGUGGUUUCUUCCACUAAAUCCGGGCCAAACAAUCUUCUAUCGCCCACUUCC
RNAcentral lists this long non-coding RNA (250 nucleotides) under Carica papaya (papaya). Its description in RNAcentral is "long non-coding RNA (CPAP_LNC013473)". The record is from RNAcentral. Lineage: Eukaryota; Viridiplantae; Streptophyta; Magnoliopsida; Brassicales; Caricaceae.